This is a non-coding RNA of Pogona vitticeps (central bearded dragon), 625 nucleotides long. The record is from RefSeq and is a predicted model, not a curated record. NCBI's taxonomy places the organism in Eukaryota, Metazoa, Chordata, Lepidosauria, Squamata, Agamidae.
UUUGCUACCAGUAAGGAAAACAAGGCAGGCCUCCCAUGUUUGGCCUGCCGGGUAACAAUACCUUGACCAAACUUUGUCAUCCCACUUUGUGAUGUAGUUCAUCACCUUCAUAAAUAUCUGGUCCACCAGAGACUUUUUGCCCCUCUCUCAGGUAGAGCCCUGUUGUCCUCAAGAGACAAAAAUCUGGAAAGCAGCAGAGGCUCGCUGUCAGCAUAACCAAAAAAGAGAGAGGAAAAGACCCCAGAAGAGUUUCCUCGCGCAAGAGAUCCAGGGCGGGGAAGUUCAUUUUAACUUGCUGCUUAUGUUGCAUUUGUGUCUCUCCACCGAAAUCACCAGCAGGGCUGGCAAUUGAUGACAACUCCAAAGAGGGAAAAGAGUCAGAGGCAUAACAUUACCAGCUGCGUUUAUACCACGCCAAAGGAAUGACCAGGAAACAAGAAUAACGGUGAAUGAUCUGGAGCUGCCCCGCCUCUCCUUCCUCCUCCUGCACCGCAGGACUAGAGAAGUUCCCUGACUGCCCACAAUAUUUUCCUCUGGGCUUGAGGUGGGACUGCAAUUUCCAGAGUCCUCUGAGGCAGCUCAAAUGAUACCAAAAUCAGCCGCGAAGAUUAUAUAUGCACAGUAC